CAAAUUCAUUCCAUUCUACUGAAUGUGUCAUCGAAAUUAAACAGAGAGCCUUGGAUAACUGAUUGUGGUUUCAUGUGUAAGUUCACUUAACAUGUUACUGAACUUUCUUCGUUCAAAAAGGACAAGGACUAUACAGUCAAUAAGAUUCCGUGUUUGCUAACCUGUUGGCUGCUACCCUUGAAUCUCCCUGUUUGUCAACAACAAAAAAAGAGAUAUGGCCUGUAAGACCAAAUGUCUGGUUGUCACUCCAAAAUAAGGCAAUGACUACACGUUCAACGCGGAUUAUUCGUUUUGUCAUCGAACUUGACUCAUUCCAUCUUCUGGAUUGCUCAGGAAACCUGAUUGGCGUUUUCUGUCCAUUUAGGUAAUGACCGAGAAGAUGCGGCCUACAUGAAUAUCAUUUCGUCGGCCAUUAUCAUUCGACUACCCAACCGGCUUCUACUACCCUGGUCUCAACACAGCAAGGAGUUUUACCCUUAAGAUUUUUGGCUGUUCGCGAUGUGAGAUAUUUCGUUAGACGAGAUGUUGAUUUUGGCGAGAAAAAUAUUGCACCCAUCCCCUGCAAAAGGAAAGGCCAGUUGGCCGCUCGAAGGUCACGGAGAUCAUU
Molecule: long non-coding RNA, 607 nt
Filed under: Daphnia pulex (common water flea)
Lineage: Eukaryota; Metazoa; Arthropoda; Branchiopoda; Diplostraca; Daphniidae
Description: uncharacterized LOC124202035, transcript variant X1
Source: RNAcentral